CUGCGGAAGGAUCAUUACCGAGUGUAGGGUUCCUAGCGAGCCCAACCUCCCACCCGUGUUUACUGUACCUUAGUUGCUUCGGCGGGCCCGCCAUUCAUGGCCGCCGGGGGCUCUCAGCCCCGGGCCCGCGCCCGCCGGAGACACCACGAACUCUGUCUGAUCUAGUGAAGUCUGAGUUGAUUGUAUCGCAAUCAGUUAAAACUUUCAACAAUGGAUCUCUUGGUUCCGGCAUCGAUGAAGAACGCAGCGAAAUGCGAUAACUAGUGUGAAUUGCAGAAUUCCGUGAAUCAUCGAGUCUUUGAACGCACAUUGCGCCCCCUGGUAUUCCGGGGGGCAUGCCUGUCCGAGCGUCAUUGCUGCCCAUCAAGCACGGCUUGUGUGUUGGGUCGUCGUCCCCUCUCCGGGGGGGACGGGCCCCAAAGGCAGCGGCGGCACCGCGUCCGAUCCUCGAGCGUAUGGGGCUUUGUCACCCGCUCUGUAGGCCCGGCCGGCGCUUGCCGAACGCAAAUCAAUCUUUUUCCAGGUUGACCUCGGAUCAGGUAGGGAUACCCGCUGAACUUAAGCAUAUCAAUAAGCGGAG
RNAcentral lists this ribosomal RNA (580 nucleotides) under Aspergillus sp. BAB-5552. RNAcentral describes it as "eukaryotic LSU rRNA". The stretch from base 200 to 353 matches the Rfam family "5.8S ribosomal RNA". The record is from RNAcentral. Lineage: Eukaryota; Fungi; Ascomycota; Eurotiomycetes; Eurotiales; Aspergillaceae.